This 485-nucleotide ribosomal RNA is filed under the name uncultured bacterium. Its description in RNAcentral is "partial 16S ribosomal RNA". It matches the Rfam family "Bacterial small subunit ribosomal RNA", at positions 28 to 507 of the family's 1533-position model. The record is from RNAcentral.
GAUGAACGCUGGCGGCGUGCUUAACACAUGCAAGUCGAACGGGAUCCAAGGGGUGCUUGCACUUUUUGGUGAGAGUGGCGAACGGGUGAGUAACACGUGAGUAACCUGUCCUUUUCUUUGGGAUAAGCGUUCGAAAGGGUGUUUAAUACCUUAUGUUCUGUCUGCCUCGCAUGGGGUGGGUGGGAAAGGCUUUGGCAGGAUUUGGGUGGGCUCGCGGUCUAUCAGGUUGGUGGUGGGGUGAUGGCUUACCAAGGCUUUGGCGGGUAGCCGGGCUGAGAGGGAGGUCGAUCGCAUGGGGACUCAGAUACAGCCCAGCUGCCUGCGGGAGGCAGCAGUGGGGGAUAUUGGACGAGGGGAGAAAGCCAGAUGCAGCGGCGCCGCGAGGGAGAUGAAGGCCUUCGGGGUGUAAAGUUCUUUGGCUCUAAACAAGGCAUGCCAGGGAGGGUGUUGAGGGUAGGUGUUGAUAAGCGCCGGCUAACUACGUG